This 545-nucleotide ribosomal RNA is filed under the name uncultured archaeon. Its description in RNAcentral is "bacterial SSU rRNA". It matches the Rfam family "Archaeal small subunit ribosomal RNA", at positions 332 to 879 of the family's 1478-position model. The record is from RNAcentral.
GCAGCAGGCGCGAAAACUUUACAAUGCUGGCAACAGCGAUAAGGGAACCUCGAGUGCCAGGUUACAAAUCUGGCUGUCGAGAUGCCUAAAAAGCAUUUCAUAGCAAGGGCCGGGCAAGACCGGUGCCAGCCGCCGCGGUAACACCGGCGGCUCGAGUGGUAACCGUUAUUAUUGGGUCUAAAGGGUCUGUAGCCGGCCGGAUAAGUCUCUUGAGAAAUCUGGCAGCUUAACUGUCAGGCUUUCAGGAGAUACUGUCUGGCUCGAGGCCGGGAGAGGUGAGAGGUACUUCAGGGGUAGGGGUGAAAUCUUGUAAUCCUUGAAGGACCACCAGUGGCGAAGGCGUCUCACCAGAACGGACCUGACGGCAAGGGACGAAAGCUAGGGGCACGAACCGGAUUAGAUACCCGGGUAGUCCUAGCCGUAAACGAUACUCGCUAGGUGUCGGCCACGGUGCGACCGUUGUCGGUGCCGUAGGGAAGCCGUGAAGCGAGCCACCUGGGAAGUACGGCCGCAGCUGAAACUUAAAGGAAUUGGCGGGGGAGCAC